GGAGAGCGUCUGCCUUACAAGCAGGAUGUCACAGGUUCGAGCCCUGUAUCCCCCA
RNAcentral lists this transfer RNA (55 nucleotides) under Limosilactobacillus equigenerosi DSM 18793 = JCM 14505. Its description in RNAcentral is "Lactobacillus equigenerosi DSM 18793 = JCM 14505 tRNA". It matches the Rfam family "tRNA", at positions 17 to 71 of the family's 71-position model. Rfam says of the family: Transfer RNA (tRNA) molecules are approximately 80 nucleotides in length. Their secondary structure includes four short double-helical elements and three loops (D, anti-codon, and T loops). Further hydrogen bonds mediate the characteristic L-shaped molecular structure. tRNAs have two regions of fundamental functional importance: the anti-codon, which is responsible for specific mRNA codon recognition, and the 3' end, to which the tRNAs corresponding amino acid is attached (by aminoacyl-tRNA synthetases). tRNAs cope with the degeneracy of the genetic code in two manners: having more than one tRNA (with a specific anti-codon) for a particular amino acid; and 'wobble' base-pairing, i.e. permitting non-standard base-pairing at the 3rd anti-codon position. Lineage: Bacteria; Bacillati; Bacillota; Bacilli; Lactobacillales; Lactobacillaceae. The record is from Rfam by way of RNAcentral.